UUUUCUUUUCUCUUUUUUCGUUGGCUUUUUCUCUUCUAUGUUCAUUUAAUUGUAGAUUGUUUUCUUUUUUAAUUAGAGAUUAAUUUAACUAAUUCUUUCUGUUUAAUUUUCUAUUUGGUGGAUAAUUGAUUUGAGAAGCGAUUCUAAUUCUAAUUUAUUGACUUGAUUUUCGGCUUCAUAUUGUCUUUAAUUGUCUUUGGAUUAUUGGCUAUUUGGAAUUGGAUUUUUUUUUAUUCUAUUUCUUUUUGAUUUGUUGAUUAGGACCUGAUUAGGUUUUGUUUUUCUGUGUUGGUUUCAUUGCUUGAUGAUUGCCGUCGAACCGCUGUUACCACGAUUCCUUGUUCGUUUCAUCGAUUCAAGAGUCCGCUGAAUAUUGAUUAUGAUAAUGGAAAGUUGGAAAGAUAGACAAAUGUGUCUAAACAAUUUCACUGCUUAUUAUUGGUUUGAGGUUAUUUUAUAACAGUGAUGGAACAUAAGCCAAAGAUGAUUAACACCGUGAUUAAGGCAACUUUAUGAUGAAGAUGAUGGUGGAAAAUAAUUCUAUCCUCUUGAUGAUGAUGAGUUUUAAUGAUUAACCGUUAACCUGUGUAAUCUCCGUAAACAAAAAGUGAUCACAACAACCCAAAAUUAAUCCGAUUGUAAACUGGUAUCAAAAUUUCAAUGUUCGUUUCCUUUCCUUAGGCCUUUAUUUCGACAUCUGUCAAUUUCCAUCCAUGAUUUCCAUCUGUCUGCUUUCCACGAUGUUCUACUCUCUCUCGCUCGCUCCUUCAUCGGCAUCUUCUCUCUCUCUCUUCCUCUUUCCAUCUGUCUACCUCACAGAAUCUCUCUUACUCUAUGUGACGAUCUUUCUCUCUAUCUCUUUCUUUCUUCCUUUCUUCCUUUCUUUCUCUCUUUCCCCAUCUGUCUUACUUCGUUUUCUUAUUUUGCCUCUUUUUGCUUCCUUCGCAUCAUCCUCAUCAUCAGCUCCCUCAUCUUCUUCUUCUUCUUCUUCUUCUCCUUCUUUGUAUCUACUAUUUAAGUUGAGUGGGUCAAUCACUCGAUACGAGAGAACAACCAACUUCAAUAAGGGAAUAAAUAAGAAAGCAAGAAAUGGAUCAAAAUCUAUGGUUACCUUUGUGUUUAUCUUACCUUUAACCUUCAUCCUUAUGAUUGUCAUCAUUACUUUAAAUAACCUUAAUUGUUAACCUAUCAUGUUUAGUAAAUCAAGUUGCUUUUCCUUUGGUUUUUAAAGUGACAAUUGGUUCCCAAAACCAAACUUACAAACAGCGAUUCUUUAUCCAAAUGACAUUGAUAACAAUUUACUAACAACAAUUUCUAAAAUUAAAUCUUCACAAACUCGACAAACUCAUCAAAACAAUUGAUUCUCACAAUUAGGACAUUUAAAAAAAAACAAAUGAUUGGCGUUUAUUUGAAUAUGUUAUUAAAGUGAUUAGCAUAUGAACAACUUGA
Molecule: long non-coding RNA, 1449 nt
Organism: Panonychus citri (citrus red mite)
Lineage: Eukaryota; Metazoa; Arthropoda; Arachnida; Trombidiformes; Tetranychidae
Exons: 5
Source: RefSeq, a predicted model, not a curated record